Molecule: unclassified non-coding RNA, 354 nt
Filed under: soil metagenome
Description: partial contains 5.8S ribosomal RNA, internal transcribed spacer 2, and large subunit ribosomal RNA
Rfam family: 5.8S ribosomal RNA (bases 1-120)
Source: RNAcentral
GAUGAAGAACGCAGUGAAAUGCGAUAAGUAAUGUGAAUUGCAGAAUUCAGUGAAUCAUCGAAUCUUUGAACGCACAUUGCGCCCAUUAGUAUUCUAGUGGGCAUGCCUGUUCGAGCGUCAUUAAGUCCACUUAAGCCCUGCUUAGUGUUGGGAGACUGCUCCAGCGGUGCUACCCUGUAGCUACCCUGCAGCUCCUCAAAGACAGCGGCGGAGUUGUGGUAUCCUCUGAGCUUAGUAACUUGUUCUAGCUUUCGAGUACACCACUUCCCCUGCCGUAAAACCCUUAAUUUUUAAUGGUUGACCUCGGAUCAGGUAGGAAUACCCGCUGAACUUAAGCAUACAAUAAGCGGAGGA